UUUUUAAAAAAAAUUAAAAAAUUAUACGAAGCUCUUAAUUAAAAAGUAAAAAAUAAAAAAUAAAAAAACUUCUCGGCUCUCGCCGUGACGCCGGUUGCUCCUCCUACUCAAGAGACAUGUUGCGCUCUCUCUCUCUCCUUCCGCCGCCGAUGAUAUGCCGUUCAUAAAUAACAUCCUGCCAUUUUUUCCGUUCACAACUCCUUCCAUUUCUUUGGUGGACAGUUCGUUUGCAAAUCGGAGGCACCGUCAAUUUCCAGAAAAAUUAGGGAUCCUAGAAUUCUAAUUUUAUUAUGGUUUAUCUACAGUGAAAAGUUCGGCGACGGAAUAAUUAGGGUUUGGCAGGGCAUGCAUCCAUUAACGAUUGCUUAGGAGCUUCUUCGGAAUUCGGUUUGCCACUGUGAAAGCAAAACCUUCAAAAGGAAUGCCUGAAUGCUGUUACUACUGAUUCCAUUGAAAUUCUGAAGGAGUUUGCCACUGUGAAAGCAAAUCCUUCAAAAGUAAUUCCAGAAUGCUUAUACUGCUGAUUCCAUUAAACUUCUGAAGGAGAAUGUCCUAGGGAGAAAAACUGCCGCGAUUUUCUAUGGUAUUGCUCUAUUUGCUUCAGAACAAAGCUCUACCAUCACCGGGACUUAUGCUGGCCAAUAUUCAGAGUUGUCAGGAGAAUACCAUUCUCGAGCACUAUGACUGUUGAUGAUGCACUUGUGCCUUCUAAAGGGUACCUCAUUGUGCAUUUCCAUGACUAUAUGGGAUGGGGACCAUGGGGUUGUGGACUUGUGGUUGAUACUUUAUAUGCAUAGUCUAGCCAGAAUGAAGAUAGUAAACUGAAACCUGUCGAUAGAGUUGUCGAGACUAAAUAGUAAUUACACGGCUUCUAAACUAAAGAAUCACAAUACAGUGCUUUUAUUAAGGUUAAGGGAAGGUGAUGUGUAAGGUGGGCCAAUGAUGGGUGAUUAUUACCUGUGUUCAUGUGGUG
Molecule: long non-coding RNA, 973 nt
Organism: Spinacia oleracea (spinach)
Lineage: Eukaryota; Viridiplantae; Streptophyta; Magnoliopsida; Caryophyllales; Amaranthaceae
Exons: 4
Source: RefSeq, a predicted model, not a curated record